Oryza rufipogon (brownbeard rice) is the source of this 206-nucleotide microRNA precursor. It matches the Rfam family "MIR812 microRNA precursor family". The record is from Rfam. Lineage: Eukaryota; Viridiplantae; Streptophyta; Magnoliopsida; Poales; Poaceae.
AAAAAGGCAAACCCUAGGUUUCCGUGUCCAACUUUAACUGUCCGUUUUAUAUGAAAUUUUUUUAUAAUUCGUAUUUUCAUUGUUGUUAGAUGAUAAAACAUGAUUAAUAUUUUAUGCGUGACUUGUCUUUUUAAUUUUUUUUUAUAUUUUUUUCAAAUAAGACGAACGGUCAAAUGUUGGUCACGGAAACCAGGGUUUGUCUUUUU